This 752-nucleotide ribosomal RNA is filed under the name bacterium DCU SB-C1. RNAcentral's name for it is "partial 16S ribosomal RNA". It matches the Rfam family "Bacterial small subunit ribosomal RNA", at positions 620 to 1293 of the family's 1533-position model. The record is from RNAcentral.
GAAACCUGGGAAACUUUGAUGUGCAUAAAAAUGGAAACGUCGGAAUUCCUGUGUAGCGGUGAAAUGCGUAUAGAUAUGGAGGAACACCAGUGGCAAAGGCGACUUUCUGGUCUGUAACUGACACUGAGGCGCUAGCGUGGGGAGCAAACAGGAUUAGAUACCCUGGUAGUCCACGCCGUAAACGAUGAGUGCUAAGUGUUAUGAGGAUUUCCGCCCUUUAGUGGUGAAGUUAACGCAUUAAAGCACUCCCCCUUGGUCAGUACGGUUCGCCAAGGCUGAAACUCACAUGAAUUGGAUGGUGCGCCCGUCACUAUGCGAUUGGAACCAUGUGGUUUUAUUUCUAAGCGACGGGCAAACAACCUUACCCGGUGUUUGACAUCCCUCUGAAGACCCUAGACCAUAAGGGUGUCCUCCUUCUGGGAAUUAAUUGAAAGGCGGGGGAGGUUGUCCCCCUCCCCCUUUCAAGUAAUUUUGAAUUAAGUCCACCACCAAGGGAAACCCUUUGAUUUUGUUCCCACCUUAUUCUGCCCUUCUAAGUUGACUCCGGUAAAAAAUCCUGCCAAGUGGGGUUAACAUCAAUACCGGCCCUUAGGACCGGGGGAAACCCUGUUCCAUUGAGGUAAAAUAACCGGAUCCCGGGGGUGGCAUUAUUCCCCAAAGCUUCCAUUUGAAUUAAACCCCAACCCCCCUUUAAACCAAAUUCAAAUACCAGAAACCUCCUGGGAAACUUCCAAAAAAAUCGAUUCUUAAUU